AAAUGAGAAAACUGAAUGUCAGAGAAAUGAAGCAUCUUACCCAAGAACACAGAGCUAGUGAGUAUCAAAGGCAGAGCAGAAACCAAAUUCUUCCUGAUUCCAAGUCAGACACUUCAUCCACUAUUCCACACUGUCUCAUAUUCAUUUAAAGGCAGCAGUGAUUCCAAAAGGUUACAAAAGAUUCAGCAGUUUUAAGCUUGGGAGGCAAUCAUGCCUGACAGCACAGAUCUCUGCCACCAGACAACCCUGGCAUGGCUUGGAAAGAGGAAUCCUUUCCUACUACCUCAGCUGGUUUUUCCAUUGCCAUACCUUUGUGAAAACUCUGAAGCUUCAAGAAUUGGCUCCCUGCUAUAGCCAAGGACACUGGUCCCAGGCUCUCCAUAUUUCCCUAGAAAUCUGUUUGAGGGGAAGUUAUACAAAGAGUGUGUUCCACCUUUGAAAUGAUGUUCAGCUCAUCUCCAAAAGUCACAAGAUCAACAUGAUCGGGAAGAUUCCAUAGUAAGGGGGUUUAGAAUAAAGGUUUCCAUGAAUUUUAUCA
RNAcentral lists this long non-coding RNA (538 nucleotides) under Monodelphis domestica (gray short-tailed opossum). RNAcentral's name for it is "lncRNA (ENSMODG00000040314.1)". The record is from RNAcentral. Lineage: Eukaryota; Metazoa; Chordata; Mammalia; Didelphimorphia; Didelphidae.